CAGGCUGGCUGAGUGGUCGCGGCCCUGGUUUUCAGGGUCGAGGAAAGUCCGCACUCCACAGAGCACUUUGCCGGGUAACUCCCGGGGUGGGGCAACCUGCCGGAUAGGGCCACAGAAACAUACCGCUGGAUUCCGGUAAGGGUGAAAUGGUGGUGUAAGAGACCACCGGUGUCCUCAGUAAUGAGAACAGCCAGGCAACCCCCAAAGGGAGCAAGGCCAAGCAGGGACGGUAGAUUGCUCGUCUCAUGACCUCAGCAAUGAGGUCGAAGUCCCGGGUAGGCUGCUUGAGCUGUAUGGAGACAUGCAGCCCAGAUAGAUGACCAUUCAGGCGGUUCCCACCGCCAGACAGAAUGCGGCUUAUAGGCUAGCCUGUGGG
This 376-nucleotide RNase P RNA is filed under the name Chloroflexota bacterium. RNAcentral describes it as "Chloroflexi bacterium RNase P RNA component class A". It matches the Rfam family "Bacterial RNase P class A". Rfam says of the family: Ribonuclease P (RNase P) is a ubiquitous endoribonuclease, found in archaea, bacteria and eukarya as well as chloroplasts and mitochondria. The record is from RNAcentral. RNAcentral also lists the same sequence under 1 other name. Lineage: Bacteria; Bacillati; Chloroflexota.